This 48-nucleotide non-coding RNA is filed under the name Schistosoma curassoni. The record is from RNAcentral. Lineage: Eukaryota; Metazoa; Platyhelminthes; Trematoda; Strigeidida; Schistosomatidae.
AUUCAGCUGACGAGUCCCAAAUAGGAUGAAACACGCGUCAAACUGGAU